Molecule: ribosomal RNA, 420 nt
Filed under: uncultured bacterium
Lineage: Bacteria
Description: bacterial SSU rRNA
Rfam family: Bacterial small subunit ribosomal RNA
Source: RNAcentral
UUGUUCGCAAUGGGCGCAAGCCUGACGACGCAACGCCGCGUGGAGGAUGAAGGUCUUCGGAUUGUAAACUCCUGUUGAUCGGGAAGAAUAGCCCCCGGAUGAAUACUCCGGGGGAAUGACGGUACCGAUUGAGGAAGCCACGGCUAACUCUGUGCCAGCAGCCGCGGUAAUACAGAGGGUGCGAGCGUUGUCCGGAAUCACUGGGCGUAAAGGGCGCGUAGGCGGCUUUUCAAGCGUGCGGUGAAAGCUCGGGGCUUAACUCCGAGUCUGCCGUGCGAACUGGGAGGCUUGAGUCUGGUAGAGGUCGAUGGAAUUCCGGGUGUAGCGGUGGAAUGCGUAGAGAUCCGGAAGAACACCGGUGGCGAAGGCGGUCGACUGGGCCAGUACUGACGCUGAGGCGCGACAGCGUGGGGAGCAAAC